UUUAAAUUAAUCGGGAAAAUUUUAAUCAAUAAGCAUCAAACACACUUCACAUUGGGAACUGCAAUACUGAAAUUGUGACAUUUUAAAUAUUUUCCUCAAAGGUGGUUAGUGAUUAUCUUUUUCCUGGGAAACAUGGAAAUACAACUAUAACAUUAAUGUGGCCAGUCUAGGUCACUAUGUUUUAGUUAAUGCUAAUAUUUAAACAGAUAUUCACAUUCCACGUCUACAAUAAGGUAGACUGUGAACUACCUGUAUUGCUGAAUUUUGGCCAAAAUUCCAUGAGAUAAUUUAGAGGAACGUCAAAUUUCUGAAGUGCAAACUCAUAAAACUUCACAUUUCGAUCACUUUUUUGCUUCAAUUGCAUCUGACUCAACAACACAGGCAAGUUUUCUUUCCUAAUUACUUGGAAAAAUAUUUCUCCAAUAAGUCCUGUGUCUUCUCUACUAUGGAUUGUUUUUAAGAUAUCAGCUCUGUGGUUAGUUUCCCACAGUUGAUAAAAAUCUAUCAAAAACACCAUAAUAUACAAUUAGCAAGGGAAAAGGUUGUUCUUCUAAGGCUGCAGGAACAGGAAAGAAAUAGCACUUCUUAUUUGUAUAAGCACAAACACCUUUUAAAUCUAGUCAUACUGCAUAAAUCCAAUAUAGUAUUCAAAAGUUCUAUAAAAAUGAACCAAAGAUACUUAUUUACUUCCACUGCUCCAAGAGUCGAACAUUAGAUCUGCAUGAGAGUUGCACUGUAGCCAUUUGCUGGUCCGAUUGAAGAGUUCAAAGUCCUUUUUGUUAUUUGGCCCAAUGAUGUCUACAUCCCAGAUAAAUUCAGUUCAAAAAACGGAAAUUAGGGCGAAGACUCCGUAUAACAAAGCACAAGGAUAUGCUACUAGAAGCUGCUGUCCUUCCAUGGCUAAUGCAGAAAUAAAAAUUUUGGAAGCAGAAAAACUACACCAUCCAAUAAUUCCAGCAGUAAGAAUGAUUCCUACCAUUCCUUGCAAAGAAAAUAUCACUGCGAAGCUGGAAAGCAGGAUCAUAGGAAGAAGACAAUAUCCAAGGACACUUGCCACACAACCAAAUGAAACACCAGUCAUACUCAUUAAGUUUAAUAAACAAAACAUUCCUAGGCAUCCAAUUGCACUGAUUCCAUAUACGUAGCCAAACUGGAUUUUGCCAGCC
Molecule: long non-coding RNA, 1166 nt
Filed under: Capra hircus (goat)
Lineage: Eukaryota; Metazoa; Chordata; Mammalia; Artiodactyla; Bovidae
Description: lncRNA (ENSCHIG00010004658.1)
Source: RNAcentral